This 199-nucleotide long non-coding RNA is filed under the name Ananas comosus (pineapple). Its description in RNAcentral is "long non-coding RNA (ACOM_LNC011854)". Lineage: Eukaryota; Viridiplantae; Streptophyta; Magnoliopsida; Poales; Bromeliaceae. The record is from RNAcentral.
CUAUUUAAAAUCAUACAUCUAGAAAUCAAAGCUUCCCCCCCACAAGAGAAGGAGAAGAUACAGAUAAUUUAAAUAAACCAUCACUCAAAAAUUUCGUUCCUACAAAAUUCACUCCUUUUGUUAUAACUAUCCUAUUACAUUCAAAAACUUACUUAAAAUCCUACUAAUCUAAAAGAGAACCACUAAUCAAAUUCUUCCU